Long non-coding RNA from Mobula hypostoma (lesser devil ray), 578 nucleotides. RefSeq lists it as uncharacterized. The record is from RefSeq and is a predicted model, not a curated record. The transcript is spliced from 3 exons. Lineage: Eukaryota; Metazoa; Chordata; Chondrichthyes; Myliobatiformes; Myliobatidae.
GCCCGAAAUGUCGACUGCACCUCUUCCUAGAGAUGCUGUCUGGCCUGCUGCAUUCACCAGCAACUUUGAUGUGUGUUGGUUGAAUUAACUGACAGUUGUUCCUCCCUCUUCCGAACCCUCAUGGAACUGAGGCUAAAACACAACAACUAGAUAUCCGCAGCAUAACCUGCAGAUGCGUCUGUUUUUUGUUCUCAUCCAUGCUAAACACUGACAUCUAGUGGUGGGUGCCCAUUUGGAAAUAGUGUCCGUCUCAGAGCAAACGUUGUUGGGAAAACAUUUCGGACCAUGGUUGGGACCCUCCCCACUUGCAGCAGACCCACUGCUUGUGGCCCACUCUGCAGCAGUAAGGCCAGCAGGAGGCUGGGAGUUGUAAGGCUACAAAAGGCUGCCAGCUAAAGAAAAUGAACUAUUGCUUUCCCUGGAGCCCUGUACGUUGGAUGUCCACAACACUUAGAACCCCACAGAGAAGCAACAAAAAGCUCCAUCAUCACUCAGGCACGGAGAUGUUAAUUCUCACAUCGCCGCUGGAAUGAAAUUCACUUGUCAGCUUCUCAAAAUACUGAUAAACCCAUUGAACC